Molecule: transfer RNA, 72 nt
Filed under: Novosphingobium sp.
Lineage: Bacteria; Pseudomonadati; Pseudomonadota; Alphaproteobacteria; Sphingomonadales; Sphingomonadaceae
Description: tRNA-Thr
Rfam family: tRNA
About the family: Transfer RNA (tRNA) molecules are approximately 80 nucleotides in length. Their secondary structure includes four short double-helical elements and three loops (D, anti-codon, and T loops).
Source: RNAcentral
GCCGGGUUGGCCGAGCGGUUAGGCACCUAUCUUGUAAGUAGACCCACGGGGGUUCGAGUCCCUCACCCGGCA